GGUGGGGUUCCCGUGCGGCCAAAGGGAGCAGACUGUAAAUCUGCCGUCAUCGACUUCGAAGGUUCGAAUCCUUCCCCCACCACCA
Molecule: transfer RNA, 85 nt
Filed under: Escherichia coli
Lineage: Bacteria; Pseudomonadati; Pseudomonadota; Gammaproteobacteria; Enterobacterales; Enterobacteriaceae
Also listed under: 1 other name
Description: tRNA-Tyr
Rfam family: tRNA
About the family: Transfer RNA (tRNA) molecules are approximately 80 nucleotides in length. Their secondary structure includes four short double-helical elements and three loops (D, anti-codon, and T loops).
Source: RNAcentral